UACGGGGGGAGCAAGCGUUGUCCGGAUUUACUGGGCGUAAAGAGCGCGCAGGCGGUCGUUCAAGUCGCGUGUGAAAGCCCCCGGCUCAACUGGGGAGGGUCACGCGAUACUGAUCGACUCGAAGGCAGGAGAGGGUAGUGGAAUUCCCGGUGUAGUGGUGAAAUGCGUAGAUAUCGGGAGGAACACCAGUGGCGAAGGCGACUACCUGGCCUGUUCUUGACGCUGAGGCGCGAAAGCUAGGGGAGCAAACGGG
Molecule: ribosomal RNA, 253 nt
Filed under: uncultured bacterium
Lineage: Bacteria
Description: partial 16S ribosomal RNA
Rfam family: Bacterial small subunit ribosomal RNA
Source: RNAcentral